Molecule: ribosomal RNA, 656 nt
Filed under: uncultured Bacilli bacterium
Lineage: Bacteria; Bacillati; Bacillota; Bacilli
Description: bacterial SSU rRNA
Rfam family: Bacterial small subunit ribosomal RNA
Source: RNAcentral
AGCGGACCGACGGGAGCUUGCUCCCUUAGGUCAGCGGCGGACGGGUGAGUAACACGUGGGUAACCUGCCUGUAAGACUGGGAUAACUCCGGGAAACCGGGGCUAAUACCGGAUGCUUGAUUGAACCGCAUGGUUCAAUCAUAAAAGGUGGCUUUCAGCUACCACUUACAGAUGGACCCGCGGCGCAUUAGCUAGUUGGUGAGGUAACGGCUCACCAAGGCGACGAUGCGUAGCCGACCUGAGAGGGUGAUCGGCCACACUGGGACUGAGACACGGCCCAGACUCCUACGGGAGGCAGCAGUAGGGAAUCUUCCGCAAUGGACGAAAGUCUGACGGAGCAACGCCGCGUGAGUGAUGAAGGUUUUCGGAUCGUAAAACUCUGUUGUUAGGGAAGAACAAGUACCGUUCGAAUAGGGCGGCACCUUGACGGUACCUAACCAGAAAGCCACGGCUAACUACGUGCCAGCAGCCGCGGUAAUACGUAGGUGGCAAGCGUUGUCCGGAAUUAUUGGGCGUAAAGCGCGCGCAGGCGGUUUCUUAAGUCUGAUGUGAAAGCCCCCGGCUCAACCGGGGAGGGUCAUUGGAAACUGGGGAACUUGAGUGCAGAAGAGGAGAGUGGAUUCCACGUGUAGCGGUGAAAUGCGUAGAGAUGUGGAG